This 254-nucleotide ribosomal RNA is filed under the name uncultured Actinomycetales bacterium. RNAcentral's name for it is "partial 16S ribosomal RNA". It matches the Rfam family "Bacterial small subunit ribosomal RNA", at positions 79 to 334 of the family's 1533-position model. The record is from RNAcentral. Lineage: Bacteria; Bacillati; Actinomycetota; Actinomycetes; Actinomycetales.
UUUGUGGGGUGCUCGAGUGGCGAACGGGUGAGUAACACGUGAGUAACCUGCCCUUGACUUUGGGAUAACUUCAGGAAACUGGGGCUAAUACCGGAUAGGAGCUCCUGCUGCAUGGUGGGGGUUGGAAAGUUUCGGCGGUUGGGGAUGGACCCGCGGCUUAUCAGCUUGUUGGUGGGGUAGUGGCUUACCAAGGCUUUGACGGGUAGCCGGCCUGAGAGGGUGACCGGCCACAUUGGGACUGAGAUACGGCCCAG